This 216-nucleotide long non-coding RNA is filed under the name Elaeis guineensis (African oil palm). RNAcentral's name for it is "long non-coding RNA (EGUI_LNC013257)". The record is from RNAcentral. Lineage: Eukaryota; Viridiplantae; Streptophyta; Magnoliopsida; Arecales; Arecaceae.
CUGCGAUGGAUCCCGCGCAGCUCCAUUACUACCUGGCAGGUCACAGUAACAGCCACGACUCUACUCCACUUCCUGCGAUGGAUCCCGCAUGGCUCCAUCACUCCCUGGCAGGCCACGGUAAUAGCCACUACUCUACUCCACUUCCUGCGAUGGAUACCACGCGGCUUCUCCACCCCCUGGCAAGUCACGACAACGAACGCCGCUUCACGCCCCGCA